RNAcentral lists this ribosomal RNA (468 nucleotides) under uncultured bacterium. RNAcentral's name for it is "partial 16S ribosomal RNA". It matches the Rfam family "Bacterial small subunit ribosomal RNA", at positions 28 to 507 of the family's 1533-position model. The record is from RNAcentral.
GACGAACGCUGGCGGCGUGCUUAACACAUGCAAGUCGAACGGAAAGGCCCUGCUUUUGUGGGGUUCUCGAGUGGCGAACGGGUGAGUAACACGUGAGUAACCUGCCCUUGACUUUGGGAUAACUUCAGGAAACUGGGGCUAAUACCGGAUAGGAGCUCCUGCUGCAUGGUGGGGGUUGGAAAGUUUCGGCGGUUGGGGAUGGACUCGCGGCUUAUCAGCUUGUUGGUGGGGUAGUGGCUUACCAAGGCUUUGACGGGUAGCCGGCCUGUGAGGGUGACCGGCCACAUUGGGACUGCGAUACGGCCCAGAGUCCUACGGGAGGCAGCAGUGGGGAAUAUUGCACAAUGGGCGGAAGCCUGAUGCAGCAACGCCGCGUGCGGGAUGACGGCCUUCGGGUUGUAAACCGCUUUCGCCUGUGACGAAGCGUGAGUGACGGUAAUGGGUAAAGAAGCACCGGCUAACUACGUG